CUGCGAUACCUCAUGGGAGGGUGAGAACUCUCGUUGGGUUCGCGCCGAGCGCAGCGAGACAACAUCGCGUAGCGAUGGCCCGAAGGGAAGGCGCUAGCGCCGUAUCAUUCCUCCCUCACCGCCA
RNAcentral lists this small RNA (124 nucleotides) under Corallincola luteus. RNAcentral's name for it is "Corallincola sp. DASS28 RtT sRNA". It matches the Rfam family "RtT RNA". Rfam says of the family: This family represents a bacterial cis-regulatory element known as RtT RNA. The exact function of RtT is unknown although it is thought that it may be involved in changing the cellular response in relation to amino acid starvation. Lineage: Bacteria; Pseudomonadati; Pseudomonadota; Gammaproteobacteria; Alteromonadales; Psychromonadaceae. The record is from RNAcentral.